This 739-nucleotide ribosomal RNA is filed under the name uncultured bacterium. Its description in RNAcentral is "bacterial SSU rRNA". It matches the Rfam family "Bacterial small subunit ribosomal RNA", at positions 55 to 789 of the family's 1533-position model. The record is from RNAcentral.
AUGCAAGUCGAACGGCAGCACGGGUGCUUGCACCUGGUGGCGAGUGGCGAACGGGUGAGUAAUACAUCGGAACAUGUCCUGUAGUGGGGGAUAGCCCGGCGAAAGCCGGAUUAAUACCGCAUACGAUCUACGGAUGAAAGCGGGGGACCUUCGGGCCUCGCGCUAUAGGGUUGGCCGAUGGCUGAUUAGCUAGUUGGUGGGGUAAAGGCCUACCAAGGCGACGAUCAGUAGCUGGUCUGAGAGGACGACCAGCCACACUGGGACUGAGACACGGCCCAGACUCCUACGGGAGGCAGCAGUGGGGAAUUUUGGACAAUGGGCGAAAGCCUGAUCCAGCAAUGCCGCGUGUGUGAAGAAGGCCUUCGGGUUGUAAAGCACUUUUGUCCGGAAAGAAAUCCUUGGCUCUAAUACAGUCGGGGGAUGACGGUACCGGAAGAAUAAGCACCGGCUAACUACGUGCCAGCAGCCGCGGUAAUACGUAGGGUGCGAGCGUUAAUCGGAAUUACUGGGCGUAAAGCGUGCGCAGGCGGUUUGCUAAGACCGAUGUGAAAUCCCCGGGCUCAACCUGGGAACUGCAUUGGUGACUGGCAGGCUAGAGUAUGGCAGAGGGGGGUAGAAUUCCACGUGUAGCAGUGAAAUGCGUAGAGAUGUGGAGGAAUACCGAUGGCGAAGGCAGCCCCUGGCCAAUACUGACGCUCAUGCACGAAAGCGUGGGGAGCAAACAGGAUUAGAUACCCUG